AUGGCAAAGAUGACAGAGAGAUAUAUGGUGCGAUCGUCAACCGUGGACCUCCAGGACCCCCAGGCAACCCUGGCCUUCCUGGGGCCCCAGGACCUCCCGGACCCCCAGGGAUUCUUUAUGUCAAUAGAGUGUAUCCUGUCCGAUCCAGGCCACAUUGCAAGCAGCCGUUCAACCAGGACCAGUCUUUAGAUUCAGAUGGUGUGC
This 204-nucleotide long non-coding RNA is filed under the name Salvator merianae (Argentine black and white tegu). RNAcentral's name for it is "lncRNA (ENSSMRG00000005438.1)". The record is from RNAcentral. Lineage: Eukaryota; Metazoa; Chordata; Lepidosauria; Squamata; Teiidae.